GUCCUCCCCUUUUACCAAAUGAUCGCGACAAAGCCUAAGUGAAAGCAACCGAGAUCAUUAUAUAUAUUUUUGCGAUAACAACUAUUCUUGAACUAAUGUCUGCCAUGUCUACCUCAGCUAAUUUACCAGAAUCCGAACAUUCCGUACGGUUAAAGUUUUUAUCUGCUGCGUUCUACGCUGUCAGUUCUUUUUUGAUCAUUGUUGUGAACAAAACGAUUCUCACAAACUACAGAUUUCCCUCCUAUAUGUUUCUAGGAAUUGGCCAGAUGACUACUACAAUCCUCAUUCUCUAUUUUGCUAAAAUGAACCAAACAGUUCACUUCCAAGACUUUGACAGAAGCGUUUUCGUCAAAAUCUUCCCACUACCUUUGCUGUAUGUUGGAAACCACAUAACAGGACUGGCUAGUACAAAGAAGUUAAGCUUACCCAUGUUCACAGUAUUAAGGAAGUUCACCAUAUUGAUGACAAUGAUCAUGGAAGCAAGGCUAUUGAGAAAAACAUUCCCUAAUCGUCUUAUCUACAGUGUUCUGGCCAUAGUUUUUGGAGCUUUGGUGGCUGCCAGCUCUGAUUUGGCCUUUGAUGCAGAGGCCUACACGUUCAUUCUGCUUAAUGAUGUCUUCACUGCUGCCAGUGGUGUGUACACCAAGAAGAAGCUGGGAACUGAGGGUCUUGGAAAAUACGGGAUCUUAUUUUACAAUGCAUUCAUCAUCGUCAUCCCAACUCUUCUGGCAAGUGCAUUUACUGGGGAUUUACACAAGGCCAUCACAUAUGAACACUGGUUGAAUGCCCCCUUUGUUUCCUGCUUCCUUAUUUCCUGCAUCAUGGGGUUUGUGCUGAUGUAUUCCAUAGUGCUGUGUAGCCACUACAACUCUGCACUGACCACCACGGUGGUGGGAGCAAUUAAGAACGUUGCUGUGGCCUACAUCGGCAUGUUUUUAGGUGGAGACUACCUGUUUUCAUGGACAAACUUCCUGGGGUUAAAUAUUUGUAUAUCAGGGGGACUUGUGUAUUCCUACCUGACGUUCCACAGCAGCAGCAAACCAUCCCAAAGCGAUGAAAGCGGAAUACAGGGAAACCAGGAUCAGCUGAUCAUUCCCAUGAUGGACGAUUCCAUAGACAGACUCCCUGUGAAAUAAGUGAAUAAACCUGUGAUGAACCAGGGACUUCUCUCUGGGGAACACACGAUUGCAGAUGUUGCAGCGGAUGCGACUGGAGGAGCUCUCCCCCUCGUUGAUCAACUCGCGGACAGUGUCAGCACGCGGGCGGCCACGCCGAAUACCGUCCUGAAAACAAAGAGGAAACAAAGUUUACAGUACCAUCAGAGCCAGAGGGAGAAGUGUCUCUGUAUGAGUGGAAGGCCCUGCAGAAGCUGAGUCGCCCCAAGGCGGAGUUUAACCUCUGUAAGCUGGACAGCAAGGUGCCGUCCAAGGCAUAAAGUCCAAACGCAUUGAGGUUUAUGUCCUAGCCCCAAACCCAGAUCACCCCGAGGACUUCCCUGCCUUAGCUGUGGGGAGAUUAAUUAUUUAUUUGACCAAGACUACAAAGGAAUUCCUUUUGUUUGCAUUUGGCUCCUGGUGAAAUGGGUUGCACUUACCUUAAAGAAAAAUCUAUUCUAACACAUUUGGGUGUUAUUUGUCCUCCUGCCUUGUGUUCCUAUGGAAGCACUGAAGGCAAUGUUCAAUAAGUCCUGUGACAAUAGAUGUACUGUUGCAGA
This is an RNA transcript of Salvelinus fontinalis (brook trout), 1714 nucleotides long. It is a transcript of the gene named UDP-N-acetylglucosamine/UDP-glucose/GDP-mannose transporter-like, with no coding region annotated. The transcript is spliced from 15 exons. The record is from RefSeq and is a predicted model, not a curated record. Lineage: Eukaryota; Metazoa; Chordata; Actinopteri; Salmoniformes; Salmonidae.